Columba livia (rock pigeon) is the source of this 351-nucleotide long non-coding RNA. RefSeq lists it as uncharacterized. Lineage: Eukaryota; Metazoa; Chordata; Aves; Columbiformes; Columbidae. The record is from RefSeq and is a predicted model, not a curated record. The transcript is spliced from 2 exons.
AAGUGCGUUCCUCCCAGAGACCAGCACUGGGAGCCAGGCUGAGUGAAGAUGUACAUUGUAUAACAUCACUAAUUGUGCUUUCCUGAAAGCACGGCCCGCACAGCCCUGCGUUUGGAGACAAAGAACUCCCAGGCAAGGGACUGUUUUUCAGAAAGAAGCCGCAAGGAAGACUGAAGUCUAGUACACAAGUGCAGUUUAAGAGAUUGUCUAAUAGAGCAAUUAUAAGUUGUGUUUUUUCUUGCCCUUUGUAUACUUCUAUGUAUAUGCAUGUGUGUUCCUAGUACCUCCAUGCCAGCUGGUGAAAAGAGCUGCAGCCUCUUUGGUUUAAUUAAAAAACAAGUUUGACAGAAA